UCAAAAUGCACAUCUUUUCUGGGCUCUUUCCAGAUAGCAUAGGGAAACAGAGGGCUCUGCCCUAUGAUGUACAGUCCCUUUCCACCAUGGUGGAGAUUAAGCUUGGCUUGUGUCUGAGACUACAUAUUUCUAAAACUUCUCAGAGUCCAGUGGACAAAGACAGGAGAUGCACCAUGCAGAAAAGAGUC
Small nucleolar RNA from Dipodomys ordii (Ord's kangaroo rat), 188 nucleotides. Its record names the gene SNORA73. It matches the Rfam family "Small nucleolar RNA SNORA73 family". Rfam says of the family: U17 (SNORA73A and SNORA73B) also known as E1 belongs to the H/ACA class of small nucleolar RNAs (snoRNAs). Vertebrate U17 is intron-encoded and ranges in length from 200-230 nucleotides, longer than most snoRNAs. The record is from Ensembl. Lineage: Eukaryota; Metazoa; Chordata; Mammalia; Rodentia; Heteromyidae.